AGCUCCAAUAGCGUAUAUUAAAGUUGUUGCGGUUAAAAAGCUCGUAGUUGGAUUUCUGUUCCAGACCGACGGUCCACCUCAUGGUGGCGACUGUCGGGCCUGAACAUUCGGUCGGUUUCCUUCGGGACGCUGUCGCGCGGUGCUCUUCGGUGAGUGUCGCGUGAGGCCGACAAGUUUACUUUGAAAAAAUUAGAGUGCUCAAAGCAGGCUUCUAGCCUGAAUAAUGGUGCAUGGAAUGAUGGAAUAGGACCUCGGUUCUAUUUUGUUGGUUUUCGCAACUCGAGGUAAUGAUUAAGAGGGACAGACGGGGGCAUUCGUAUUGCGACGCUAGAGGUGAAAUUCUUGGACCGUCGCAAGACGAACUAUUGCGAAAGCAUUUGCCAAGAAUGUUUUCAUUAAU
RNAcentral lists this ribosomal RNA (400 nucleotides) under phytoplankton environmental sample. RNAcentral describes it as "partial small subunit ribosomal RNA". It matches the Rfam family "Eukaryotic small subunit ribosomal RNA", at positions 587 to 977 of the family's 1831-position model. The record is from RNAcentral.